AAGUCGUAACAAGGUUUCCGUAGGUGAACCUGCGGAAGGAUCAUUAUCGAGUUUUGACUGGGUUAGAGCUGGCCUUCCGAGGCAUGUGCACGCCCUGCUCAUCCACUCUACACCUGUGCACUUACUGUGGGUUUCAGUCGGUGUUAGUGGGCCUUUACCGGCUCGCGAAGUCGUCUGUGCCCGCGUUUAUUACAAACUCUUACAAGUAUCAGAAUGUGUAUUGCGAUGUAACGCAUCUAAUACAACUUUCAGCAACGGAUCUCUUGGCUCUC
This 272-nucleotide unclassified non-coding RNA is filed under the name Perenniporia sp. RNAcentral's name for it is "partial contains small subunit ribosomal RNA, internal transcribed spacer 1, and 5.8S ribosomal RNA". The stretch from base 1 to 46 matches the Rfam family "Eukaryotic small subunit ribosomal RNA", at positions 1786 to 1831 of the family's 1831-position model. Lineage: Eukaryota; Fungi; Basidiomycota; Agaricomycetes; Polyporales; Polyporaceae. RNAcentral also lists the same sequence under 1 other name. The record is from RNAcentral.